CCGCAUCGAUGUUACAUUUCAAUCUCCCCCUCAAGGGCUCCUCCACUGCUUCUCCUGGUCAGUGCCGACACCAUUAGAAGUCACCAACUCACCAAAAAGCUGUCUAGAGCUAUGCCAUUCCUGCAGAUAAGAGUCAGCAUUUCCAACAAUGUAGAUUUCGAUGAAACCGAAUCGACAAAACUCGCUCGUUCCUCCUAAAGUUACUUUGAUCAAACAAGACCGAUUCAAUGCAACGCUCAAACGAUC
RNAcentral lists this long non-coding RNA (246 nucleotides) under Gossypium barbadense (sea-island cotton). RNAcentral's name for it is "long non-coding RNA (GBAR_LNC007758)". Lineage: Eukaryota; Viridiplantae; Streptophyta; Magnoliopsida; Malvales; Malvaceae. The record is from RNAcentral.